GAUGAACGCUGGCGGCGUGCCUAAUACAUGCAAGUCGAGCGAACAGACGAGGAGCUUGCUCCUCUGACGUUAGCGGCGGACUGGUGAGUAACACGUGGAUAACCUACCUAUAAGACUGGGAUAACUUCGGGAAACCGGAGCUAAUACCGGAUAAUAUAUUGAACCGCAUGGUUCAAUAGUGAAAGACGGUUUUGCUGUCACUUAUAGAUGGAUCCGCGCCGCAUUAGCUAGUUGGUAAGGUAACGGCUUACCAAGGCAACGAUGCGUAGCCGACCUGAGAGGGGGGAGGGCCAAAAGGGAAAUGAGAACAGGGACCACAUCCCGAGGGGGGGACAAAGGGGGAAUCUUCCCGAAAGGGGGGAAGGCCGAAGGGAGAAAGGCGGGGGGAGUAAGAAGGUUUUGGGAAUAGAAAACCUUUUUUAUGAGGAAAAAAAAAAUGUGAAAGAAAAAAGCCACGUUUGGAGGGUACAAAAAAAAAAAACAACGAAUAACUACGC
Molecule: ribosomal RNA, 497 nt
Filed under: uncultured bacterium
Lineage: Bacteria
Description: partial 16S ribosomal RNA
Rfam family: Bacterial small subunit ribosomal RNA
Source: RNAcentral